Non-coding RNA from Cyanistes caeruleus (blue tit), 1832 nucleotides. The record is from RefSeq and is a predicted model, not a curated record. NCBI's taxonomy places the organism in Eukaryota, Metazoa, Chordata, Aves, Passeriformes, Paridae.
CUUUCGGCUUUAUUGAAAGCAGAUGGAUUUGGGGAAAUGUUAGAGCAAAACUAAGCGGUGGUUCACCUUUCAGGAGAAAGGCUUUCUCUGUCGCUGGAUGCUGCCGCGCAGCCGGUCAGGCGCGGCCCGGCUGAGGCUCCUCUCUGCAGAGCAGCCGCGGCUCCGGCGGCCGCCGUGUCCCUGUCCCCGUGUCGCACAGGGUUCCCUGGCUGGGCUGCCGAGCAGCUCCCGCAGCCACUCCAGGGGGGGACGGAGGGAAGUGACCGGGCCCUUCCCUGGGAGGGCCGCUGGAGCCCCUUAGCCCCUCGAGGCUGGAGCUGGGCACAGACCCCCACACGGCGGGCCCUGCCCGGCCCUGCCCGCGCUGCAGCGGCACUGGAGCGCAGGGCUGCGGGCGGCACCUCGGGCCGUCAGCCCCGACCCUUUCAGUGCCCAGAGGCAGCCUCAGGGGAGCAGAGACGUGGCAAUGGCUCGAGUUAGCCAUUGCUUUCGGCUUUUCUCCCACGUUAUUUGCUGAUGCCUGCGCUGGGCACAGCCCCUCGCCUCACCUGCCAACACCAGCACCCAUCAUGGCCCACCUGGGCCUCACCCGUGGCGCCAUUCAAGCUCCAGCCAAGGCCCUGGGCUCCCUCACUGCCGGUACUCAUGUCCUGUGGAGCAGUCUGAAAUAGAUCCUUUUGCUACCUUGAUCAGAAGAACCUGAAAUCAUGGAUGGAUAGAAGGGAGAUACAUUCAGGAAAGAUACGCCAUGAUUUUAGCUUGGACUUGCGGCUCAUCAGGCUCACAUUUCAGGAGUUCCAAUAUCAGAUGUGGGAUACUUGCUGCUGCCUUGGGAGUCAUACUGGUGGUCUCUGUCACCACAGUGUCUGUCACCAUGGGAUAUAUGUAGUGGACUAUUGAAGACUUUCACCAAGCCCACCUUGCCCAAUGGCAAUUAGACUGAAAGAGGAACCUUUGACAGACUGGUGACACAUUGAGACUGCUGAGAUUGCUGGAGGUUAAGUUCUUGAGCUUUUUAUCUUAGGGAUUAGUAGGACAUUAAAAAUUUAUUAUGAAUGCUAGAUACGCAUAAUACUGUACCUUAUCGUAAGGACUUUAAUGUUUAAUGAUUUUUUUGGUCCAUGGUAAUUUAUGAACUAGACUUUUAAGGCUAUAUGUAUCACUAUCAGGGAAAUACACAUAUAAAUGUCACAAGUAUUUACAAUUAAGAAAACAUGUUCUUCCAAUUUUCUAAACAGCGAAAAAGAAGUUGAAUUUGUAGGAAAAAUGAGCUGUCAAUAUUACUGCUGAAUGUUGACUUUAAACAAAAUGCAUGAAAUUAAUUACAUCACUAGUAAAUGUAAUUAAUUUUAAAUCUGUAUACACAGUAUCCUCACAGAUACUCUGCAAUUAAAAACCAUGAGCCAAAUUGGAUUAGCAAGUGCUUUUGUAUAAGCACUACUUAAAUUUAAGGCGAACUUUGUGUAAUGACAGAAGACAAAAUUUGGUCUUGUAUCAUUGUCAGCAAGUGAGGGGAGUUAAAAGAAAGUAUUUUAUCCUUCUUCUUAAUGCCAAAAAAAGACAAAAGGAUUCCACAUGUCCUGUAAUUGUAUUAUUUGAAUUUGGAAGCACAUGCAAUGAUGCAAGAUGUUUAGUUAGAUGUUUAGCAGUGUGUCAGUGCUAGUUCAGUUUUGUGAGAAAAUACAACACUAUUGAAACAGCAGGAGGCUGAUGUUUCUGUUUAUCUGCAUUUAUAUAAACAGCUUCCCUUUGCCAGAGCUUGUUGACUGGCUCUUAUCCUUUCUGGUUCCCUUCAUGGCUUGUAGUUUUCCCACUUGGCCUGAUUUUUUCUG